This 1200-nucleotide long non-coding RNA is filed under the name Mytilus galloprovincialis (Mediterranean mussel). The record is from RNAcentral. Lineage: Eukaryota; Metazoa; Mollusca; Bivalvia; Mytilida; Mytilidae.
CAUUAAUAUUAUAAUACAGUUUUAUGAAAGACAUGUCAUUUUGAACAAGAGGCUCUCAAGAGCCUGAAUCGCUCACCUGGUAAACAAUGCCUUAUUGAACAUAUUGAACCAUGCCAGGCAGACAUGUACAGCUAACAAUUCUUCAAUAUUACAAAUAUCAGGGGCAUUAUACCUGAAAAACCAGUUACCAAAUUCGGCUGAAAAUUUCAGGACAGGUAGACCUUGACCUAAUAAAUACUUUAACUUCUUGUCUUAUUUGCUCUAAAUGCUGGAGUUUUUGAGAUAUAAGCCAAAAACUGCAUUUUACCCCGUGUUCUAUUUUUAGCCAUGACAACCAUGUUUUUAGACGAAAUAGAAAAUAAAACACAAACUUUAUUUUAUACACCCUACUGAUCGUUCAGUUGAAGUUUGGUUGAAUUUGGUUGAGUACUUUUAGAGGAGAAGAUUUUUUAAAGUUAGCAAAUAUGAUGAACAAAUUGUGAAAAAUUGUCAUUAAAGGACAAUAACCCCUUAAGGGGUCAAUUGACAAUUUUGGUCAUAUUAACUUAUUUGAAGAUCUUACUUUGCUGAUCAUUUUUGCUGUUAACAGUUUAUCUUUAUCUAUAAUAAUAUUCAAGAUAAAAAUUUCCUUAAAAUUACCAAUUAAGUGGCAGCAACCCAACAACUGUUUGUUUGAUUCAUCUGAAAAUUUCAGGGCUGAUAGAUCUUGACCUAAUAAACAUUUGUAUCCCCUGUCAGAUUUGCUCCAAAUGCUUUUGUUUUUGAGAUAUAAGCCAAAAACUGCAUUUGACCCCUAUGUUCUAUUUUAAGUAACGGCGGCCAUGUUUUUUGACGGAUCAAAAAUCGAAGCACACACUUUGUGUAGUAUAAUCUAAGGAACAAUCAUGCUAAGUUUCAUUCAAAUCCAUUCAGUAGUUUCAGAGGAGAAGAUGUUUGAAAAAUUGUUAACGACGACAGACGACGACGACGGACGCCAAGUGAUGAGAAAAGCUCACAUGGCCUUUUAGGCCAGGCGAGCUAAUAAAAACAAUAAAACUGUAAUUAUCUAGAACAUCUAUACGCAUAUAAACAAUAAAGAUAUGAAAGUUACAAAACAACUUGACUUAAUACAUGUAAUUUGAAUCGUUUAUAUACAAGCUACUAAAUGAAAAUAUUAUGUGGUACUAAAUGGAGCAACUGGUUGCCAGACAUUUGUUAUUU